CAGCAGUCUGAUUGGUCCACAGGAGCCACCCAAUCCAGCUCCAGGUGGAAGCGAAUCCGCAACCUGAUUGGCCUACAGGUGAAUCCCGGAAUUAGCCAAUCACGUGGGGCCCAUUGUGUAAAUAAUGUAUAUAAAGCAGACAUUCUGGGGGAACUUCCAUUCCUCCUCACCACUAUGAGCUGAAUAAAGAGCAUGAAAUCCACCCUUGACUCUGAGUAUAUUUUAAGUAGACAUGGUUAUAGAAUCAUAGAACUGUAGAAUUGGGAGGUACCCUGUGGAUAAUCUAGUCAAACCCCUGUGCAAUGCAGGAAUCUCAACUAGAUCAGUUAGGAUAGCACUAUUACGCUUAAAGGGAUCCAUGUGUGUGUAACAGUGGGUUAUCCUUCACUGGUCUAAUUACCUAUGGUUAUGGAAUGUGGCUGGUGAGCCAAAUGGAAGCAAACAAGCACACAAUCUCUGAGCAUCAAAACAGUGUUCCUCUGACUCACUAAACAAUAUAUGAUACCAGAGAUAAAAAGCUACAACUGAGAGCAUACUCAAAGUGAAUAAUGGCACAAUUAAAAGUCCCUCCAGGACUGUAACUCUUUGGAAAUGCAGAAGAUUCACACAGUGUUUCAACCUGCAUCUGCCAACACAAAGGGAAAUGUUGAUGUAGACCAGCUGAUGGGUGCUCUCCAGGCGAGUUAAGCCAGGCCACUUGGGCUGAUGCUGAUUUAGUUUCCAAGAAAGCAGUGUGAGAAAUACCAAGGUGUUUUCUACUUCUCUUCUAUUUAGUAGGACCGUGCACUGAGGGCCAAGCCAAACUGGGCAUAUGUUGAAGGCCUUAGAUGAGUCAGGUCAAAUCAGCCAUACCUAUUAACUGCCCUGGAAAAAAAUGAGAUAUCCAGCAAGACCAAAGGCAGCCAUUUUGGGUGCUUUGAUCUCACGUGAUUUUCGACUGAGAUCUCACCCUGAAAAAGCUGUUUUUAAGGUCUAAGAACUUGUCUGGCACCCCAAAAUACAUGCUUUUGUGUGAUGUACCUUUGGGAAGACAGAGCAAGGACAGUAUGGCAAGGACAGCAUUGCAAAAUGUGCCAUAUUAUCAAGACCCAUUCCAUUCCAGGAUGAAGAACCUUCGGCCUGUGGGCCAAAUUUGGCCCAUUGGGAGUUCCAAUUUGGCUUGCAAGGCCGUUCCUCACAAACCAUGCUCACCUGCCCUAUACCUGAUGCCAUCUGUAAUAUCAGGUGUGAGGCAGGUUCUCACAGGGUUAGAGAGUAACAACUGGGAGCUUGAGUUCUGAAGGCUCCUUUGCUGUCUCAAAGCACACUCCCAUCAGUUAUCAUCUGAUGGGCAGUGGGAGCAUGCUUUGCUCUGAGAGCAUGAAGCACUUUGCAGGGGGAACGCUCCAUUUUAGCAGUAGUUUCAAUGAAAAGGUUGGUGUCAGGGAACUGCCAUCAGUGCCGGAGGGAGAGAGCAAGAUCCAGAGGGAUUCCAGAGAGCGUCCCGGGAUUGGGAGAGGCAGCCCAUCUUCUGGGGAAGAGAAUCAGCGUAGCACCAGUGGAGAAGGGGGGCAGAUGGGGGAAGCGGCGAGGCGGUCCCAUGACUCCUUGCCGGGGACCAAUGGGGAGAGUAGGGGUCCUCCGCUGCCUACGCCCUCCUUGCGCAGAAGGCUUUCGCGCAGAGAGAGUAGGAGGAGACUAGGCGUCAAAGAGCUUCUUUGCUGGAAGAAGUUUAAGAAACGCCCACUGACGGAUUCUGCCAGCGAUUGAGACAGCCACGGGUGAGUGGCUGUCCGGACAGAAAAGGUUCACUCAGGCAACCCAGCCAGGUGUUUGCACCGGCUUACACACGAGCAACCCCUAGAACCACUACAGUUGGCAUGUGGCAUCUGAUGGCACAUGAACAUUGAGCUCCUGGGUCAAAGGAGUUCUCCACACCUGAUUUAGACCAGGUGACUGAAGAUUGCAGUUCUAUACUUCUGAGUGCAACUGGUAAUUCAACUCCUUGUUGUUGUUUAGUCGUGUCUGACUCUUCGUGACCCCAUGGACCACAGCACGCCAGGCACUCCUGUCUUCCACUGCCUCCCACAGUUUGGUCAAACUCAUGCUGGUAGCUUCGAGAACACUGUCCAACCAUCUUGUCCUCUGUCGUCCCCUUCUCCUUGUGCCCUUCAUCUUUCCUAACAUCAGGGUCUUUUCCAGGGAGUCUUCUCUUCUCAUGAGGUGGCCAAAGUAUUGGAGCCUCAGCUUCAGGAUCGGUCUUUCCAGUGAGCACUCAGGGCUGAUUUCCUUAGUAAUGGAGAGGUUUGAUCUUCUUGCAGUCCAUGGGACUCUCAAGAGUCUCCUCCAGCACCAUAAUUCAAAAGCAUCAAUUCUUCGGCGAUCAGCCUUCUUUAUGGUCCAGCUCUCACUUCCAAACAUCACUAGUGGGAAAACCAUUCAACCCCUUAGAUUCUAGUUAAUGUGCCUUAUUAUUAUUAUUAUUAUUAUUAUUAUUAUUAAAAAUAAGGCUCAGACUUUUACAGUGAGAAUAAAACAAAAUCUUUAGGCUGCAGCCUAAGUGAAUUUACUUUUACGCAGGUCCUGUGGAACUCACUGGGAUGCAGUUGUAAGUAAGAAUCUUUCAAGACAGCCUGGCAUUCAGAUGAAGAAGGAAAAAAACCUUUAGGUCUGUGGGUGUAUUGGGGGGGGCAUCAGAGGAUGGCAAGAAAGUCCUUAUUCAGCUUUGCCCACCUGGGGAGAUUUCUUGCAACAGCUUGUUUUCUGUGCAUGGAAUCUAAAUUGAACUUUUGUGUCAAAGGUUUUUGGAAAGCAGAUUGGUGAGAAAUUGAAACACUGUACAAUUGGGAGCGGAGGGUAAAAGGAAAAAAAAAGGAGGGGAGCUUUUAACCACGAUGAGGUGGUAGAUUGAAACCUACAGUGAUUCUUCCUGCUGCUUUGAUUAAAGGCAAGGACUUUAGUUUAUUUAUGUUUUGAUUUUUUCUCCCACUCCUCCCUCAUCCUGAAUGUAGCUCGCCACUUGAGAUCCUGCGCUGGAUCAAAUCACGCAGACAACCCAUGUGAAAAUACAUCUGAUCUGAUCUGUUUGCUGUCAUAAGAACAUAGAGAAAUCCCUGCUGGAUCAGACCAAAGGCCCAUCUGUAGUCCAGCAUCCUGUUUUCUGCAGUGGCCAACCAGCUGCUUAUGGGACUGGGCUUCAGAAGCCUGCUGCCUCAGAUCCUGGCCAUGGCAUAAGGCUACCAGGUCAGUUCUGUAUCUCCGGCGGGCUAGGGACAAAGGUGAGAGCUAUUUCCUAGUUCUGCUGGAUCUCUCAGCGGCCUUUGACACCAUCGACCAUAACAUCCUUCUGGACUGUCUAGAGGGGCUGGGAGCUGGGGGCACUGUUAUACGGUGGUUCCGCUCCUUUCUCCUGGGCCGUGUCCAGAAAGUGGUGUUGGGGGAUGAGUGUUCAGACCCCUGGGCUCUCACUUGUGGGGUGCCUCAGGGUUCCGUCCUCUCCCCAUGCUUUUUAAUAUCUAUAUGAAGCCGCUGGGAGAGAUCAUCAGGGGGUUUGGGCUGGGUGUUCAUCAGUAUGCAGAUGACACCCAGCUCUACCUCUCCUUUAAAUCAGAACCAGCGAAGGCGGUGAAGGUCCUGUGUGAGUGCCUGGAGACGGUUGGAGGAUGGAUGGCGGCUAACAGAUUGAGGUUGAAUCCUGACAAGACAGAAGUGCUGUUUUUGGGGGAUAGGGGGCAGGCGGGUGGGGGAGAUUCCCUGGUCCUGAAUGGGGUAACUGUGCCCCUGAAGGACCAGGUGCACAGCCUGGGAGUCAUUUUGGACUCACAGCUGUCCAUGGAGGUGCAGGUUAAUUCUGUGUCCAGGGCAGCUGUCUACCAGCUCCAGCUGGUACGCAGGCUAAGACCCUACCUGCCCGCGGACUGUCUCACCAGGGUGGUGCAUGCUCUAGUUAUCUCCCACUUGGACUACAGCAAUGCGCUCUAUGUGGGGUUACCUUUGCAGGUGACUCGGAACCUACAGCUAAUCCAGAAUGUGGCAGCUAGACUGGUGACUGGAAGCAACCACCGGGACCAUAGAUCAUCAGUCGUAAAAGAACUACAGUGGCCCCCAGCUGACCUUUAAAGCCUGAAACAGCUCCGGCCCUGUAUGCCUGAAGGAGCAUCUCCACCCCCAUCGUUCUGCCCAGACACUGAGGUCCAGCUCUGAGGGCCUUCUAGUGGUUCCCUCACUGUGAGAAGUUACAGGGAACCAGGCAGAGGGCCUUCUCGGUAGUGGCGCCUGCCCUGUGGAACGCCCUCCCAUCAGAUGUCAAGGGAAUAAACAACUACCUGACUUUUAAAAGACAUCUGAAGGCAGCCUUGUUCAGAGAAGUUUUAGUGUAUGAUGUUGUAUUGUGUUUUUACUAUAUUUUGUUGGGAGUCGCCCAGAGUGCCUGGGGUAACCUAGUCAGGUGGGUGGCAUAUAAAUUAUUAUUAUUAGCCUUCUCCUCCAUGUCUUUCUUCAAUUCCCCUGUUUGAGCUGCCCAAGUGCUCCCUGCUUUCAUUUGAGCAGAGGCAUACCUUGGUAUUUGGUUGAUUCUUUCCAACCACAGGGGUGCUCAUCACAAACUCUGGCAAAAAGGCCUCCUUGAUGGCUGCCAAGGCAUUGAGUUGCAACAUGUGCUGAGCUGAAGAGGUGCCAAUGGAGGGUGAUGCUUCAGUGAAAAGUGGUGCCUUAUCAUACUACAGUGGUACCUCUGGUUAUGAACUUAAUUCGUUCUGGAGGUCCGUUCUUAACCUGAAACUGUUCUUAACCUGAAGCACCACUUUAGCUAAUGAGGCCUCUUGCUGCUGCCGUGUCGCCAGACCACGAUUUCUGUUCUCUUCCUGGAACAAAGUUCUUAACCCGAGGUAGUAUUUCAGUAACCUGAAGCGUCUGUAACCUGAAGCAUAUGUAACCCGAGGUACUACUGUACUCACCUCAGCAUAACUCAAACUGGUUCAGAGGACUGAGGGCAAAGGAAGCAGGAAGAGGAAGAAGAGGAAGAAGAGGAAGAGGAAAAAGAAGAAGAAGAAGAAGAGGAGGAGGAGGAGGAGGAGGAGGAGGAGGAGGAGUAGUAGUUUGGAUUUGAUAUCCCACUUUAUCACUACCCGAAGGAGUCUCAAAGUGGCUAACAUUCUCCUUUCCCUUCCUCCCCCACAACAAACACUCUGUUAGGUGAGUGGGGCUGGGAGACUUCAGAGAAGUGUGACUAGCCCAAGGUCACCCAGCAGCUGCAUGUGGAGGAGCGGGGAAGCGAACCCAGUUCACCAGAUUACGAGUCAACCGCUCUUAACCACUACACCACACUGGAAAUAGAAGAGACUCUGUUAUUGCUGCAAUCUUCUGCUUUGCCACAAAUAGUCCUACAGCUGCAUCCUGAGAUUUGUAAAGCUAUUCAUUCAUUAGAUUUCCAGGUUGUGGGCAGGGCGUCUCCUUCUCAUUGUUUCUGGUACGUUGCCUAAUAAUCCUUUGAUGGAACAGCAACAACAAUGGGAGCUGUUAUCUUUCAUUGACCAGUUCUGUCUAUUCCUCUUUACAGCAGGAGUAACCACAGCAUUUUGGUGCAGCCUAAUUUUUGUCUUAAUGUUCUGGAGCAACCCACUUUCACAAGCAAUGAAUUUUGCUCUCUUUGGUAGUUUCAGGGCAUCAGGUCAGAAGAAUUCCGUUCCUGUUAUCCAGACACACAAAAGUGAGACGUCUUCAUUCACAAUUAUCAAAUGCUGCAGUGCUAAUGCAAAGGCUAAACCCUGUUUCUGUAGAAGUCAAUAAUGUGUGUUUAUUUUUUUUCACCCCCCCAUCUUCUUCUCUUAUUGAUGUCAGUGCAGCAUUUCUGCCGGGUGAUAAAAAGCAGCUGAGUCAAAUCAAUAACCAACAAAAUGUAUCACCUGAUAAACAAGCAGACGUUUGUGCGGAGAGCUACUCAUUGACCUCCAAGGCUGUUGCAAAACCAUUGAACACCUUGUGAAAACCCCUUUAGGAAACUUUAGAUAGAUCAGCCAUUAGCCAGGAGACUAGGGAGAGGGCGGUUCUCUGUAGAAGUUCAAUUCCUGCGAUGACAUUGGCUGACAGAAAAUAGAAACUGUGGUUUGGUGGCCCAAUAGCAGUGCUUAGAGCAGGGGUGGGUGAGUCAAUCUAUAUACAGUAUGUGUCAUGUAUUUGAGCAAUUACCCAUAAUGUCUGUUCUGCAUCAGUUCCACAUUAGUCUGCCGUGACUGCUAUGUGUGUGACAGUUCACAUUUAUAUGCAUGUUAAAAUGUGCAUUUUUUGAUAUACAGUGGUACUUUGGUUCUCAAACAACUUGUUCUCAAACAACUUGGAACUCAAACACUGCAAACACAGAAGUGUUCUGGUUUGCGAACUUUUUUUGGAAGCUGAACGUGCUCCGUUUUGAGUGCCAUGCUUCCGUUUUGAGUGUUACGCCGAGGUCUGUCUGUUUUUGCUAUUUAUUUUGCGUUUUUGUUUUUGCGGCUCUUUUUGUUUUGUUUUUGUAACUGUGUGGAACCCAGUUCAGCUACAAAUUGAUUGAUUGUGUGACCCUAGUACAUUGUUUAUUGCUUUCAUUUUAUGGACCAAUGGUCUCGUUAGAUAGUAAAAUUCAUGUUAUAUUGCUGUUUUAGGGGUUGUUUUUAAAAGUCUGGAAUGGAUGAAUCCAUUUUGCAUUGCUUUCUAUGGGAAAGUGUGCCUUGGUUUUGGAACACUUUGGUUUUGGAACAGACUUCUGGAACGGAUUAAAUUUGAGAACUAAGGUACCACUGUAUCAUAUCUUCUCUAAAAACUGCAGAUUUCCAGAGGUAUUUUCUCUCAGAAUAUGCAUCUUCAAUGAAUUUUGACACUUGUUGCCUCCAGAAUCUUCUGACAACAUUUAGGAGGUACAAGAUCCAUUGCGCCUUUUUGGGUGCUGCGAUCUCUCGCGUUUUUGGGCACCAUGCUCUCAUGUGAGAGCGCCCCCACCCAAAAUGGGAUGUCCCAAUUUAAUCAGGACAGUUGAGGGGUAUUCCAUCUCCAUCUUUUAUAUAUAUCCAAAAUUAAUUUUCAAAUCUGCGUACUUUAAGAAUAUUUGUUUUGGUUAGUUUCUCCCGCCCCCCCCUAUAUAUAACACAACUCAAUAUUUCUUAAAAUAAAUGAAGAAAGCAAAUCCAUGACUUACGCUAAGAGCCUAAUGUCAGAUUUAUUUAUUCGAGGUGGCGGGCAGGAUAUCCCUAUAACAUCAAUCACAGAUCAUUAUAUGACAAAUCAUAUCAUUAGGUGGUGUUCAUCCGGUGACACAUAUCCAUUGUUGGAAUUGCUGGUGAGAAAAAGAAAGGAGGGAAUAAUCAAUGUUUAGAUCAUAACCCUCUAAUUGGUCUGCACAGAUCUGAAUGUUAAUGAAGGCUGCAGAGAACGGUCUUGCUUCUUAGCAAAUUGUAGCAAUGGGUAACCCUCUUCUCUAUCAGCCCACCAGAACUCUCCCUAGGCCACACCCUUUAUCCUCCAGGCACGCCCCUCACUGGUGCUGCCUCACAUCCAGAAGGGAAUAUGGCUUUCGGAUUUAGAGAAGUUGCAAAACCCUGCCCCAGGAUUUUUCAUACCUUAUCCACACACUUAGGGAGCCACCAUUACAAUGGCAGACUCUCUUCAUCUUGCGUAUACACUCAUUAUUCUGCUGCAGAGGAUGUUUCUCUGUGUAUUCUGGAACUCUAAUUUCCCAGAGUUCCAGAACACAUAGAGAACAGUCCUCUGUCUGUUAAGUUGCAUAUACUUAACAGGCAGCAUUGCACAUACAUUGUGAAGCCUUGCAGGGGGUGUACAACCAGCUCCCUCAAUGUGUUCAUUGUAUGAAUGGGUCACACUAUUAUUAUUAUUAUUAUUAUUAUUAUUAUUAUUAAAAUUAAAAUUUAUAAAAUGCCCUAUACCAGGGUCAGCAAACUUUUUCAGCAGGGGGCUGGUCCACUGUCCCUCAGACCUUGUGGGAGGCCAGACUAUAUUUUGAAAAAAAUAAUGAACAAAUUCCUAUGCCCUACAAAUAACCCAGAGAUGCAUUUUAAAUAAAAGCACACAUUCUACUCAUGUAAAAACACCAGGCAGGCCCCACAAAUAACCCAGAGAUGCAUUUUAAAUAAAAGGGCACAUUCUACUCAUGUGAAAACACGCUGAUUCCUGGACCGUCUGCAGGCCGGACUGAGAAGGCGAUUGGGCCAGAUCCGGCCCCCAGGCCUUAGUUUGCCUACCCAUGCCCUAUACCCAGAGGUCUCAGUGUAGUUCACAUAUAAAAAGGGCUUGGCUCUCAAAAUAAACUGGCAGGCUUCCUCUGCUCAGGAAUAAUGUGAUUUACUUUUUUCUGUUGUAAGAGUAUCUUAGACUCUAUCCCAUUGCCGUCCUAUGGAGAUUUUUGUGUGUGUGCAUGAAAUUUGGGGCCUGUGAAACCAGGGGCAAUUUGAGGAGAAGGAGAGAAAGGGUGCAAAAGGUUCAUGGGAGGUUUGCCAUUAUGGCGGCAGUGGUGUCCCUUAAAACAUAUUUUUAGCACCACUGUUGCAGGAGGUAGCAGUGGAACGUCUCUCCAGUGUCCACCAUGCCCCUGAAAGGAAACAAUGUGAGCCAGAUUGCUGCCCAAGGCAAAGGACAAGAUGGAGCUCCUUCCCAUUCCAUGUGCUGACACUGACUUGUAGUUGGAUAUGACAUCAACACUGGCAAUGGAAUAGCAUGCUCCACUGUACCUGAAGUUAGUUUACAAGGGGCCAGGAGAGGCCACGGGGAUACACAGAUCUGUUUUCCAAUAGCUAGGAGCUUCUGCAACCUGAGGCAGUUGUUUCCCUUUGCCUAAUGGUAGGUCCAGCCAUGCCACAUAAUGCCAGGGAACAAUAUUACAGUCAGGGUAAUCUGUGGAAAAUGUUGGGCUUCAAACACACCCUGCCCCUGCGCAAGCGUGGUUGGUGGCAGUAAGACAUAAGUAAAAGGAAAAAACUGCCCCUGUCACUACAAUAGUGCUCUCCUCAUGAAAGUUUCAAAGAAUUUCCCCCAAAGUUUAUUUUUUUAAAAAAUCCACCUACUUACAACUACUCUUUACCAGCCUUUUCUCAUCAGUAAAAAACAUGAGUAAUUGUGGCAUAAGUUACCAGGGAUCUCUGAAGAGGAAUCAGAUAAGGAGAAUGUGUGAUAUAUUACCCGUUUUGAACAUUAAGGCUGGAGUGAGCUGCAAAUCUUAACAUAACAUGUACAUAAUGAACUGAACUGAUAUUUUUUUAACAAAAGGUAUCAUCUCAGAGUCAUUAGGACUUAGAAAGAAAAUGAGGAGCUGGUUCAAUGCAUGUCCAUCACUUGAUUUUCCAACAAAUCCUGCCCACGUGGUUCCUCUUCAGGCAUUUACUCGGGAGGAGAGAGGGUCAAGAUUCAUGAAAAUAUCACCUUCUUCUUUGGCAAUCACUCAUAGCCGAGUAAGAUUGUCUUCCAUAAACACGGUUUUAACAGUGAGUCCGUAAGUGACUGUGGAGGCCAAUUCUGGAUCCACACGUCCUUCCACAGUGGGGACAUAGGUUUCCAGGUGGGAGUUGAUCAUGGUGAGGGUUUGCCAAGCAUGCCUUCCUCUUAGCACAUUUCUCCCUUGCGUCCUGAGUUUGAGUGUCUUCAAAGCCCAUGACACCUUUGGGAAAGGCUGUUCUCCAAUUGGAGUGCUUGCAGGCCAGUGUUUCCCAGUUGUCAGUGUUUGUACUACAUUUUUUAAGAUUUGCCUUGAGAGAGUCUUUGAACCUCUUUUGUUGACCACCAGCAUUACGCUUUCCAUUUUUAAGUUCAGAAGAGAGUAGUUGCUUUGGAAGACAAAAAUAGACCAUGAAAGGACCCCUGGAUAAAGUCCAGUCAAAGGCGACUAUAGGGUUGCGGCGCUCAUCUCGCUCUCAGGCCGAGGGAGCCAGCCUUUGUCCACAGACAGUUUUCUGGGUCAUGUGGCCAGCAGGACUAAACCACUACUGGCACACAGAGGACUGUGAUGAGUGCUAGAGCGCACGGAAAUGCCGUUUGCCUUCCUGCAACAGCGGUCCCUAUUUAUCUACUUGCACUGGCAUGCUUUCGAACUGCUAGUUUGGCCGGAACUGGGGCAGAGUUCACCCUGUCACAGGGAUUCGAACCGCCGGCCUUCCAAUCAGCAAGCCCAAGAGGCUCAGUGGUUUAGACCACAGCGCCUCCCAUGUCCCUACCAUGUAAAUAUCCCACGCACAUGGCUAUACGGGCAGAAGUCCUAAUAUGGGAACAUAGGCAUGGGCACAGCCUGUCUUCCUCUGAUGUGUGCUCAUUGUAAUCAUCAUCCAUUUACUGAGGUCAACACACUGAAAAAUCAAGCGAGGCAUCUGUAUGUGUGAACCAACUUGUGUCCACCACCCCUAUCCAUCGAUUGCACAUAGCUUUAGAGAUGGGAUAAGGAAGACCCCCAAGUGACCUUUUGCCUCUCGUAGAGUCAAAAUCUGCCUGGAUUCAAAUGCCAGUUAUUCAUAUUUUAUCCCCCCCCUUUUUUUUGGGUGCAGAAAUGAAUAGACGCAACACGAAAAGUGUGCAGAAACAGUAUCUCUCCCAAUAUAGCCCCUGCUCAUUGCAGAUACUUGCAUAAGUCCUUCCACAGCGAUGGUGCCUCUAAUUAUUCCUGCAGGUGUACCUUUCUCGGUGGGCAUUUUCCGUCAUUACACAGUCAUCUGCAGAGGUCACCAUUAAUCCACGAGCGAGUAAGAGAGAUUCCACUUAUUUCAGAAGAGGAAAUAGCACCGUCUUGGAAGCCUCCCAGGCCUCCUUCAUUCUCUGGCAUUCUAGAGACUCAAAAAAAAAAAAAAACACAUUCUAGCUGAGAGGCAUUGAACAUGGUGUGAAUAUUAAUGUUCCGGCUGUGUUAGCAGAACUGUGGUCUUGGGCUGGUGCCAAAUCUGAGCAUCUGAGAGAAGAAGCUGUUCUAGGACCUGUUCUUAUGCUACAGUGGACAUCAUUCGCAUUCCCCUCAGCAACACAGAUUGAUAUUCAGGGAUGUCAGCAAAGGCAACAUCCAUGAUCUCAGAAGCACAUGUUUGAAUACCAAAUCUGAAUGUGCAGAAUGCCUCACUCCCUUAUAAAUAUAUUUUUGCUAGUCUUUUUCAAUUUCUUUCUUUCUUUCUUUCUUUUCUUCCUUCUUUCCUUCCUUCCUUUUUGCUUCCCUUAGAUUCCUCCCCCUCCCCUCUUUUUAAGUAGAGAGUUCCAAGAACAGUUCUGAUUUAGGUAACUUUUCAUACCACAGUUUUUGUCUCUGAUCUUACAUAGCCUCCAACAUUUCUCCAUUGAAAAUAGGGACGUCCCAUUCCAUAAUGAUAAUUUUACUAUUUAUACCACAUGCAUCUUACUUUGGGCACUUAAAUAGGGACGCGGGUGGCACUGUGGGUUAAACCACAGAGCCUAGGACUUGCUGAUCAGAAGGUCGGUGGUUCAAAUCCCCGCAACAGGGUGAGUUCCCGUUGCUCAGUCCCAGCUCCUGCCAACCUAGCAGUUCAAAAGCACAUCAAAGUACAAGUAGAUAAAUAGGUACCGCUCCGGUGGGAAGGUAAACGCUGUUUCCGUGUGCUGCUCUGGUUCGCCAGAAGCGGCUUAGUCAUGCUGGCCACAUGACCCGGAAGCUGCACACCGGCUCCCUCGGCCAAUAAAGUGAGAUGAGCGUCGCAACCCCAGAGUUGGUCACGACUGGACCUAAUGGUCAGGGGUCCCUUUACCUUUAUCUUAAUUGGCAUUGUUAUAAUGAGGCUAUUGUUGGAGUGUAAUUGAAAACAAAUGGAAAUUAUUAUUUAAAAAUAAUAAUAAUGAGGGGGAGAAUGAUGUACUGUAUGCCACCUUCAGCUCUUUGAGGAGAAAGGUGGGAUAUAAAUGCUAAUAGUAAUGAUGAAGAUGAUGACAAGCCUUGAAUGAUAGAAUUGUAGAGUUGGAAGAGACCCCGAGAGUGAUAUAGUCUAACCCCCUGCAAUGCAGAAAUCUUAGCUAAAGCAUCCAUGACAGAUGGGCAUCCAACCUCUGCUUAAAAAACCUCCAAGGAAGGAGAGUCCGUAACCUCCCGGUGGAGUCCGUUCCACAGUCAAACAGCUCUUACUGUCAGAAAGUUCUUCCUGAUGUUUAGUUGGAACCUCCUUUCUUGUAACUUGAAUCCAUUGGUUCAGGUCCUAGCCUCCAGAGCGGGAGAAAACAAGCUUGCUCCCUCUUCCAUGUGUCAGCCCUUGAGACAUUUGCAGAUGGCUAUCGUAUUUCCUCUCAGUCUCCUCUUUUCCAGGCUAAGCAUACUCAGCUCCCUCAACCAUUCCUCACAAGGCUUGGCUACCAGACUCUUGAUCAUUUUGGUUGCCUUCCUCUGCACAUGUUCUAGCUUGUCAAUAUCCUGCUUAGAUUGUGGGGCCCAGAACAGGACACAGUACUCCAGAUGUGGUCUGACCAAGGCAGAAUAGAGCAGUACAGUGGUACCUCAGGUUACAGACGCUUCAGGUUACAGACGCUUCAGGUUACAGACCCAGAAAUAGUACCUUGGGUUGAGAACUUUGCUUCAGGAUGAGAACAGAAAUCGUGCAGUGCGGUGGCAGCAGGAGGCCCCAUUAGCUAAAGUGGUACCUCAGGUUAAGAACAGUUUCAGGUUAGGAACACCAGGAGCGCCUCCCCUACUCGCAGGGAAACCCUUUUUCGGGGGUCCGAAGCGACGUGGGGUGAGCGGCGCGGUGUUUUGAAUCAACCACUACUUUUACGGAGUGAAGCCGCACAGCCGUUGCCAGAGAGCGCUGACUUUUUCCUGUGGACAAUUGGACUCUAAACAAGUACCCGUGAGUAGAAUGGAAAAUUGGAUUAAGUACUAAGAAAUAUUUUAAUUUGGCACCGAAAUGGGAAGGUUCUAAACAGGAAGUCCGCCUCCCGUUUUUUGUAAAUAGAUUGAAGCAAAAACUUUGUAAGCUAAAGUCUGGAAAGUCGUAUAUAAAGUUCUAAAUUUCCUUCAUUCAUCAUCACCAAAACCCCUCUUGGGAGCAGGAGAAAAGAGGGGGAUUUUUGACUGUUUAAGCCUGCAGGAGAGAGAGUAAAGAAAGAUAAAUUUUCCACUGUCUCAAACCUGGGAACGGGGUGUCAGAGACAGAAAUUUAUGGGGAAAGUUCAUCGACUGUGAACGGAACGUCUUUUGACAGAUAGUAAAAAAAAAGAGAGAGAGAAAUAUAUUGAUUCCAAUGUUGCUUCUUGCAAUCAAAAGAAACAAAGUAUUUGAAAAGUGAAAGUAAUUUUUCCUCUUUGGUCCUGUUUUUAAAAGAUGGAUACAAAUAGAAAUUGUCUCCUCUAGAGGGAGCUUGUUAAUUUGUUGCCGGAGCUGAUCUGGGGACCUCACAGCUGUAUGAUUAGGAUCGUGAGACCAGACUCUAACCUUGGGGGAAAAAAAUGUGUUUACAAGAAGUCUUGGUGCUUGCUCUUUGCAAGUGCCUUGCUGGAGCAGAUGCAUGAGAAGAUGGAUUUGAUGACUGUUGCAGUUAAAAACUUUGGACAAACGGCGAAUACCCAUAUAGAAACCAUUCAGGAACCAGCUCAGGAAUCUGUUUUGAUAGGGCAAGCGCAAGGGCAGAAGAAAAUGGAGGAGGUUGUUGUUGAACCUCAAAUAACACAAAUGGAGAGACCCGAGGCCUUGCAGGAGUAUAAGCCGCUGUUAUUGAAGUUCGAAUCUGGAGUGGACCGGGGGGCGGGGUCUGGAGUUGUGAGAGCUCUUAAUUUUGGAAAGACUUUGAAACAUGCUUUUAAAUAUUUUCUGGAUUACAGUGUUGACUGUGGGGAAUGGGACUGUGGGGAAUGGGCAGAUCUGCUGAGGAGAGAUGGAGAUACUUUUGGAUUGGAGUCCUCCCGAGACCUACCCCCCAAUGAGAAAGGAAAGAAAACAAGAAAAAGAUCAACAAAAGAUAAAGUAAAGGGCAGGUAUAAACAAGAAGAAGACCUGCAGAAGGGACAUGGAAAAGAUUUAAGAGCCUCGGACAUAAGAGCACCAGGUUGAUGGAUUAGAUAGACGAGAAAGGACUGACAAAACCCGAGACCAGGAAGAAGAGACGAUGGAUGAAGAUUGGAAGAAAGUUUCAAAAUUUAUUUAGAAAAGUAUUGUAAAAUUAAUGAGUAUUAGAAAAAUGUUGGAAUGAAAUUAUUUGGCUUUAGCAGAAAUGUCAAAAGAAUUAUGAAAGAAUAUGUUAUGGUUAAAAGAAUUUGGUAUAUAUAGUUUUAAGUUUUAAGUUCUUAGGGUUUUUAGGUAAGAUAAGGUUAAAAUAGAUUGAGGUAAUUUAAAUGACAGAAUAUUGUGAAAGAUGGAAAGGAUUUGCUGAGAUAAUUAACAACUAGAAUACAAAAAAGGGAGGUGUGAGGAGGUCGUUGAAAUAAAUUAAUGAAAGUUAAGGAUUUGGGAAUAUUAGACUUGUUUUUUAAUUGUUUGUUUAUUUUUGUUUUUUGAUCUAGAUGUAUUGUGUGUUUUGUUAUUGUGUUUUUUUUGACUUUGGUUUUUAUUGAUCUGUAUUGUUUAAUUGUUAUGUUUAUCUACUUCUUUUUCUCUUGUCCCCCUCUUUUGUCUUUUCUUUCUUCUUUCUUUGUAACUUUAAAAUUCUCAAUAAACAUCAUUUUUUUUUUUAAAAAAAAGAACAGUUUCAGGUUAAGAACGGACCUCCAGAAUGAAUUAAGUUCUUAACCUGAGGUACCACUGUACUUUGACUUCCCUUGAUCUGGACAUUACACUUCUGUUGAUGCAGCUAGAAUAGCAUUAGCAUAUAUAUUUUUGCUGCCACAUCAUACUGUUGACUUGUGUUAAGCUUGUGGUCCACCAAGACCCCUAGAACCUUUUCACAUGUACUACUGGCAAGUCCAUAUUAUAUUUGUGCAGCUGGUUAUUAAAGCGAAACCAUGUGUAAGUUGGACUAAAGGUAGAUAUUUCCUAUAUAUGUACCUGGGAUGGAAUUCUGCCAAAGCUUAAAAGGAUGGAAUUGCCACCCACAGGCAUAAGAAUAUAUUUGCAAGAGGAAUCCUAGAGGGACCUGUAUUGCAUAGUGGUGUUCCGAAGCCAACAGUGGAAAAGAUGUCACAUUUAAUUUUUUUAACAAGACCAAUGGGAAUAUAUAUAUAAAAUUUCCAUUCUUACUAAGCAGCUGCCUUUAUUUCUCUUUUAUGGAAAAGCUGGCCCAUGCCCUGCCAGGCUGCUUAGUGCACAAUAACAUUCUUUACAUAGUUCACAGCUUCAUGGGGGUGACUGACAGCUAGCCCAGCAUGUGCAAAUAGCUCUUUUGACACAUCAUGAAACCAAAAGUCAGCGUGACCUGAGGAAAGACGAGAGGUGAAAAGAAGGGUGACAGCUAGGAUGGCUGGCAAGGCUACCAGCAAAAACAUAUUUAAAUAGAAAGACAUCAUGAAUAUGACAGAGGUGUAUAAAAACCGUGACAGGUUCGGUAAAUAUGAACACAUUGGACAAAGGCUGUGUUCACAGGGUUUGUUGUUGUUGUUGUUUUUUGAUAGAUCUAAGACCUUAACAGCCCCCUAUAUUAGAGACCAUUUUUAAAAGUCACAGAUUGCCCCAAAGAAUCCUGGGAAACGAAAGCUUAUUAAGAGUGAUGAUUAGCUGACAAAGGUCCAUAUAGUUAAAGAUAUGGUUUUCCCAGUAGUGAUGUAUGGAAGUGAGAGCUGGACCAUAAAGAAGGCUGAUCACCGAAGAAUUGAUGCUUUUGAAUUAUGGUGCUGGAGGAGACUCUUGAGAGUCCCAUGGACUGCAAGAAGAUCAAACCUAUCCAUUCUGGAGGAAAGCAGCCCUGAGUGCUCACUGGAAGGACAGAUCCUGAAGCUGAGGCUCCAAUACUUUGGCCACCUCAUGAGAAGAGAAGACUCCCUGGAAAAGACCCUGAUGUUUGGAAAGAUGGAGGGCAGAAGGAGAAGGGGACGACAGAGGACGAGAUGGUUGGACAGUGUUCUCGAAGCUACCAGCAUGAGUUUGAUCAAACUGUGGGAGGCAGUGGAAAACAGGAGUGCCUGGCGUGCUCUGGUCCAUGGAGUCACGAAGAGUCGGACACGACUAAAUGACUAAACAACAACAAAGCAUUUCUAGGAGACCUCUGUUACUCACACAGACCUACCAUUUCCAGAGCAGUUUAACAAUAAACCCUUCUACCCAGGGAAUUCUGUGAAUUGUAGUUCUGUUGGGGGGUGGGAAUGGAGUCUCCUAACUGCUCUCACCAGUGUGGAAUUGAGUUUCAGCCACAAUUUGUGCAGCCAUCAGCACACGGGCACCAUCUUGUCCUUUGCCUUGGAUGGCGAAAUGUCUUUGGCUGGCGCCAUUGCAGUAAGGUGUGGAAAGCUCUGGAGAUGUCUGAAAUAGCUUGUGCAAGUGCCACGGUGUAUCAGCCACUUGCAAACACUGCUCCAUCGUUUGCAUCAUGGUUGUCUGUAAAAGAAAGGAUGUCAUCAUCCCAAAAUGUGUGGCUCUAGGAACAGCUAUCACCAUCACACAAUUAAUGAUAAAUGUGUGUGGAGAAUAUUGAGAACCAGGAGGGGUGGGGAGGUAAAGAAAUUAAUGUGAUGUUACAUUUAGAUUUAAUGCUAACUGAUCAAAUGAUUUUUAAAAGAAAAACUAUGCCCAAACUCUGCAGCAAGUGGCAAUCAGUCAAAAUUACGAGUUUUUGAGGAAUGGAAUGACAUUUUGGGGGGGACAGAUGGGAUUUAAGAUAGCUGCCCUGCAUUGUAUAAUCACAGCUGCAUCUAAAGCAUUUAAAGAACCAAUUGGCGAUGCAAUCUAAGGCAAACUGAGCUGAAAAAAUACAGAAUAUGUGUUUAAGAUACAUUUUAGAAGUGUGAGAUUUUUCUUUUUCUUACCACCCAAUAAAAGGAAGGCAACUUUGUUGAAAGAUGUCUAAAUAGUUUCCUCAAUUUUGCCAUUUGUUGGCAAGGCAUCAGAAAAUGCUAGUUCUUGGGUGAAUCUUUCAAGUUCAGUUCUCUAAGUUUCUUAUAUUUCAAAUCCUAAGUAAUGUUCUCCACAUUUCCACAGCAAUUUGUGAUCUUCUUUAAAAAAAAUUCCCAUGGAAAUUCAGCAUUUUAGUAUGAAUUUCCUCUAGUAACAUUUUUUUAUACAGUUUUGAGUAAUACAGAAUCAUAAAAUAUUAAGAGGAGGAGUUUGGAAUUGAUUUUUUAAAAAUGAUAUUUAUUACUUUUUCAACAUUUCCAACACAGCACUACAAACAAAAAAAGAGAAAAAAAGAGAAAAGAAAAAAGAGAAAAAACAAUACAAAUACAAUACAAUACAAAAAAAAAACGCUACAUGGACUAACAAAGCAAAGAAAAGCAAACAAAAACAAUUUAAAAACACCUCAAACAUUUUCAAUAUCUUAUAUUUCAUUCACUUAUUUCCAGCGACCUCCUCACACCUCCCUUUUUGUAUUCCACUUCUAUUAUUUGUUUCAGCAAUUCCUUUCCAUCUUACUCUGUUUUCUGUUCUAUAAUUAUCUUAACACAUUCUUACCAUACUUUCCCUUUAAUUUUCUAUUAAUCUAUUUAUACUUAAUUCUUUAUGACAUUUCUACUAAAGCCAUGUAAUUUCAUUCCAACAUUUUUCUAACAUUCCUUAAUUUUACAAUAUUUCUAUAAAUAGUCUUUAAACUUUUUCCAAUCUUCUUCCACCGACUCUUCACCCUGGUCUCGGAUCUUGCCAGUCAUUUCCGCCAAUUCCAUAUAGUCCAUCAACUUCAUCUGCCAUUGUCCAACACUUCAGUGUUUUCAAAAGCAACCAUUCUCUCAACCAGCAAAAAGCAGAUGGUUCACAACGAAGUUUAAAGGUCUGGCAGGGCAGGUCCACCUCCUUCUUUGGCAUCCAUCAAUAUCUUAAGUUUUACUCGAGGCUUCCUGCCCUGUCAAACAACUCUAGGAGCAUCCCUCUGCCACCUCCUGAACCCCUCCGUCCCAUCCAAAGCUUGCAAUGUUUGAAAGAAAAGCAACAUCCCCAGCAACACAGCAGCCCUCAUCCCCACCACAAUAACUCGGCCCAACAGUAACAACUUCUGAUUUGUCCAUAUUUCCAAAUCCCCCUUCUCCUCAAUCCAGCAUCCUUCACAAUUAUCCUUAAGCAGAUUCACAUUUUUGGCGGUCAUACUAACCCCCAAAUACCUCUCUUUCUCAACCAAUGUUAGUCCUGUCACCUCUUGAAACUCUGUCAAGCUUUCCUUUUCCAAUUCAGAUAGGGCUCUGGUCCUCAAAUUCAUCCGUUCUUCUUUAAGUUCAAUCAUAACAAAUGUCAGCUUAUGUUCAUCAAGUUGUCUUUGUAUGGAUGGGACUCUCCUCUCCAGUUGUAUUACUUUGGAUUCAGCAGCAAGGGUUUUUUUCCCUGACUUCAUCUGCAGUUUGCCGUAUCAGAGUAGAUUCCUGUGUCAGUUUCUGGGUGGUUUCUGAAUUGGUAUUCACCUUUUGUCCCAAGUUAUUUAAACUUUCUACACUUAAAUCAAUUUCAAUAUUUGCGACAUCCAAUUUCACAUUUAUCGCAUCUGUUUUCUUGUGGAGUUGUUCCAGCGAGUCGUUUAUUUUCAAUAAUGCAGCCACUAAGGCCUCCUCUGUCGGCAUCCCGUCUGUUUUUUCCUUUCCGUUUGCCAUAACACUUAAGAAACUCAAGGUCAAUUCCAAAGUCUCACACUUUUUUAUCUUGCAGCUGGAAAUUCCCCUAGCCUAGCUCCUAUAAAGUUACCAAUUUCAAAAGCUUCCACUAGGGGAAAACAGGUUGUAUUUGUAUCGGUCAGUAUGUCCUCUUUUAAACACAGUUUCAAUAAUCCAAAGUUAGUUUCAAUUUUCAGUUACUUUCCUCCUUUUUUAAAAACAACCGGAGACAGUAGAAACAAUGUAUUCUCUUGAUUAGCUACCUGUCAAUGAACGUUCUAAAUGCUGUCAAUGGACAUUCCAAAAAACAUCAAUCCUGCUAGCAGCCCAUUUCCAGGGUCAGAGCGGCGGUAUUUUAACUCUCUUAACUCUCUCCUACAGGCAUAUUCAGUCCACCACUUCCCCCCCUCUUCUCCUGCCUCCAAAAAGGGGGGGAUGUGGAAGAAGCAGACGAUUCGAAGCACCGCGCCACUCACCCCACAUCGCUCUGGAUCCCCAAAACCGGGUUUCCCCGCGAGUAGGGGAGGCGCAAAAGGUGCCCGCCAAAUCCCACGUUCACAGGCUUCUCCCACCUGUGAUUUUUACGGAUCUCUGCCUUUGCCGUGACGGUACAGACCCAAAUUCCCACAGGGCAAAUUCCUCCCGAUCAGAGGAAUUCCGCCAUUGCCGGAGGCACCAACCCGGAAUUGAUAUCCCGCUUUAUCACGACCCGAAGGAGUCUCAAAGCGGCUCACAAUCUCCUUUCCCUUCCUCCCCCACAAACACUCUGUGAGGUGAGUGAGGCUGAGAGACUUCAGAGAAGUGUGACUAGCCCAAGGUCACCCAGCAGCUGCAUGUGGUGGAGCGGGGAAGCAAACCCAGUUCACUGGAUUAUGAGUCCACUGCUCUUAACCACUACACCACGCUGGCUCUGGUGUAUUUAACCACUAUACCACGCUGAGUUGGAAGGGACCCCAAGGGUCAUCUAGUCCAACCCUCUGCAAUGCAAGAAUCUCAGCAUCCCUGACAGACGGCCAUCCAACCUCUGCUUGAAAACCUCCAAGGAAGGAGAGUCCUCAACCUCCCAAGGGAGACUGUUCCACUGUCAAAUAGAAUCAUAGAAUUGUAGAGUUGGAAGGGAUACCUUUUUCAAGCAAUUUCUCCUAUUAUGGUCUGCUUUUGUGCAUUAUUUUCACCAAUAUGUGUGUUUCAAUGCACACAUGGCAUGUGACAUUUGUGUGCACCCUUGAAGUGAGAGCAAUGUCGUGAAGUGGCCCUAAUUGGUGCAGAGUGGGCCCAUCGGAUUAGGGCUUAAUCUUUGGAUUUUGGCAGGAAAUAAUGAAUUAGAGAACAGAGACAUUGUCUGUCAUAUCUGGAGCCGAUAGCAAGAUUUUACAGCUGAGCUAUAAGCCAAUAAAAGCUGGCUUUAUAAUUGAAGUGCUGACACACAAGUCUUAGGCAUACUAGGGUGAGCACAUCACUAUAUAACACAUGAAUCAAAAGUCUGUUUCAUAGAGCAGCAAGUCUGUAGCUGAAUAUGCAGAUAACUUGGCUUAAUGAACAGCCUAAUUUAAAACGUGCGCACACACGCCACAGAGUUCAUGUGGCUAAACAAUCAGUGACUGUUAUUAAUGUUUUAAUUUUGUGGACAGAAGUAGGAUGCAUACAAUUAAAUCCGGUAGAAACACUCCAGAGAUAUUUAUUUAUAAGGAAGCUUGCUAAAUUUACAUUGUCAUCUGUUAGAGAACAGCUGCUGGGUCAGGGUUACAAAACCGCAGGAAAUAAAAAGGUUCAUUUUUUUCCUGGCACCUUAUAAAGUGUUGAACAUUCCUGGAGAAGAUGCCCAGGAUAGCUCAUGUGUCAGGAAAGAAUUGAGGAAGGUGAAAUGGCAAAAGAGCCCGGCUAAUGACAUGGCUGAAAGACUCUUCCGUGAGGGAACAGGUGAGUGUUUUAGGGGCGCUGCUGCAGGCACAGAUGUCCUUUGUGGCUUGGAGGGCCACCUUUGCUGGUAAGACAGCUAUGACCAUUCCUGGCUUGACCUCAACUGUCUAUGCAUUGGUAACCUCAAGUCUGGAUACUGCUGUGUCAAACCCUCCAAGUAUUUUCCAGGGAAUGGGUGGGGCCCUGACCGACUCCAGCUACAAAGACCAAGGCUGCUGAAGAGGCCAGAAGCCAUCUUGGCUGUGAGACUUAGAAGACCUGCUUCCUGCUUGGUUGGCUUUUUCCACCUGUCAUGGGAGGGUGGGGCCUGUUAGAAUUCCUGCUCCAUGGUUGCAGUCAUGAGAUUUUUUUCUAACCCAUGACGGUGUAUGUUUGGACUCCACAAAGUGGGAAGUGACAGAGACAGGAUGUUUGUGUUACUGUGUUCCGUGAAGUGGGAUUAUUGUCCUUUGUUUUCUUCUUCUUUUGCUGUCUGAUGCUAGAGAGAGAGGGAGCCAUGUUGCAGUGCUCCGUGUGUGUUUAUAUGUAAAUAAAGUAGAUUAGCCAAAAUGCUGAGUUGCUGAGGUCUGUUACGCAAGUUGCACAAACUCUGCGGAUCCCUAAGUGUGCCGGUGUCUGUUGGGAUCGGUCGCUGUGAUGUUUGGGCUGAAGAAAGCUUUUGAAGCUCCCGAACGAUUGACCAGGAGGGAAAGAACAUGCCAGUCAGGCAUGUGUCUCUGCCAGGGUCCUACUUGAGUGUAGGCUGAACUCCUGACAGGGCCCUGGCUGACUCCAGCUACGAAAGCUGAGACCAGACCCUCCAAGUGUCCCUAUUUUCCAGGGACAGUCCCAGAUUUACAGAAGCCAUCCUGGUUUCUGAUUCAAUCCUGGAAUGUCCCGCUUUUCCUAUUUUAGACAUCCCUAUUUUCAUUGGAGAAAUUUUGGGAGCUGUGGUAGAACGUCCCUAUUUUCAUGGGAGAAAUGUUGAAGAGUGUGGAGUUAUGCGACCCUAAAGCCAAAAAGAUAAGUAACUGUACAACCUUUAGAAGACAUCUGAAGGCAGCCCUGUAUAGGGGAAUGUUAAAAUGUUUAAUGUUUAAUUAUGUUUUUAUAUAUGUUGGAAACCACCCAGGGUGGCUGGAGCAACCCAAUCAGAUGGGUGGGGUAGAAAUAUUAUUGUUAUUGUUAUAAUGGAAUAAGAUGUCCCUAUUUUCACCAGAGAAAUGUUUGAGGGUAUGUUGUGUGCUCCAUGUGGGGCUACCCUUGAGGUUGUUCCAGAGGAUGCAGCUAGUGCAGAACACAUGGCAACUACACUAGCGGCCAAAAUAGUGGAAACCUUUAGGGAAAAGUGUACUUCUGAGGUUUGAUGGCUCAUAACACCACUAUUUUUUGGAGUAAUACCAUAAAAUUAUAUAUCAAUGGAAAUAUAAUUUAAAGAAAAAUGCAAUACAACAAAGUUUGUUCAAUUAUCUGUAUUCUAUCAAAGCUUAUAGCCAAAUAACCAGGAAAAGGAAGCACAACUUGCUAAGGUUGAUAUACAGUAGGUUUCCUUCAUUUGAAUGUAGCCAAUGAGCAUGAGUGUCUAGAGAGCCAAUCAGGUGUUAUGAGCCGUCAGACCUCAGAAAUACACUUUUCCCGAAAAGUUUCCACAAUUUUGGCCACUAGUGUAGGUUGUUUGAUGGGGGAAAGUACAACCACCAUAUAACACCUUGCUCACUGGAUUUGCAUGGGCUGCCAAUCUGCUACUGGGCCAAUGUCAAAGUUUUUAAUAAAAAAAAAUCCUUCCAGUAGCACCUUAUAGACCAACUAAGUUUGUUAUUGGUAUGAGCUUUCGUGUGCUAUAUGAAGACGUGUGCAUGCACACGAAAGCUCAUACCAAUAACAAACUUAGUUGGUCUCUAAGGUGCUACUGGAAGGAUUUUUUAAAAUUUUGUUUCAACUACAGCAGACCAACACGGCUACCUACCUGUAAAUAGAACUAUGGAAAGUUUUUAAUGUGUAAGCCCCUAUCCUGCUGUAUACCCCUGUACGUGAAAUACUGCCUUAUAAACUUAGUAGGUCACUGGGGUCUACAGAAGAGCUUCUCCUGCACUUUCCAAAGUUAUUAGGAACCCACUUCACUCAGAGCAAAGCAUUCAAUGACCCUGUUUUGUGGAACGGUAUUCCUGCUGAGAUACAGGAACCUACUACAGCGGUACCUACUUAAUUCAUUCCGGAGGUCUGUCUUAACCUGAAACUGUUCUUAACCUGAGACACCACUUUAGCUAAUGGGGCCUCCCACUGCUGCCACACCGCCACUGUACGAUUUCUGUUCUCACCCUGAAGCAAAGUUCUUAACCUGAGGUACUAUUUCUGGGUUAGCGGAGUCUGUAACCUUAAGCGUCUGUAACCCGAAGUACUACUGUAUCUGCGUUUUCCAGAAUCAACCGGAUACAUUUAUGUCCAAAUAACCUGUCCUGGGUCUCUCCUGUGGAAAUCCAUUUUGUAUUUAUUUAUUUUUUAAAAAAAUAAUCUUGUGUGUUCUUUUUCUUUUGCUGUUCUUAACUGCCUUUAUUUGUUUGCUUGUUACAUUUUGUACAUCACCUUGAGAUAUAUUUGUGGAAAGAGAGAUCAUAACCACCCCUAUGACCACAUCAACACUGGUUUUCUUUCACCAGUUUAUUUCUUGAAGUGUUCCCACAGUAACAACCAAGCAUAGGAGCCAACUCCUAGGGACUGAGGUCCCUUUGCCUCCCCCCCAAUAAAAUACUCGAGGAGCCCAGGCCACCCAAAAGUUAAUGGGCAUUUCUAUUCAAAUGGGAUGUUUGUGCCACAUCACAUGAUCAAAUAUGCAGGUCAGGGCUUACCUGGGUUUCCCCCAAUAUUUUAUUCUAGUUGGCACCCCUGCAACCAAGUAAUGCAAAAUCAUAAUCAAGUGCAAUGGAUGAAAGCUAUCAAUGCACACAUGUUCAUUGCUAGCAAAAGGUGUGUGUCCAUGGCAGGGGAGGGAAAGCUGUUGAUAUGUGUGAACUGCAAAGGCUGUGGCAAACUGUUGUUGUUGUUGUUGUUUAGUCGUUUAGUUGUGUCCGACUCUUCGUGACCCCAUGGACCAGAGCACGCCAGGCACUCCUGUCUUCCACUGCCUCCCGCAGUUUGGUCAAACUCAUGCUGGUAGCUUUGAGAACACUGUCCAACCAUCUCGUCCUCUGUCGCCCCCUUCUCCUUGUGCCCUCCAUCUUUCCCAACAUCAGGGUCUUUUCCAGGGAGUCUUCUCUUCUCAUGAGGUGGCCAAAGUAUUGGAGCCUCAACUUCAGGAUCUGUCCUUCCAGUGAGCACUCAGGGCUGAUUUCCUUCAGAAUGGAUAGGUUUGAUCUUCUUGCAGUCCAUGGGACUCUCAAGAGUCUCCUCUAACACCAUAAUUCAAAAGCAUCAAUUCUUCAGCGAUUGGCCUUCUUUAUGGUCCAGCUCUCACUUCUACACAUCACUACUGGGAAAACCAUAGCUGGCAAACUGAGCAUGCCUCAAUUUAGAUGUUCUUCUAGCUGAGGCAGGACUCAGGAGGCAUGGAAGACAAGGCAGAACAAACCAAAGGGAAAAAAAUAAAUAAAGGCAUGAAUGGGGUGUGGGAAGAAUCUGCUCCUCCCUAGGCAUUAGCAAGACUCUUGAGAUGUCAUUAUGUACAAAAGCAUUAAAAAUAUCUUCCAUUGCUUAAAUCUCAACCAUUAAGUCUUAUCUGCGUUUUAAGCGGCCAGCUGGGAAUUUGAGCAGAGCAAUUUGAAGCUUAGUGAUGUUUCUCUGCAGAGAUCAUUGCAACAUGCGCUUCUGAGGGAAACAACAAAUAUUUACUUCCUGAGAAUGAAUGGAAACCUCGCGGGGAAUAUGAAUUUGCGUGGGCUGAGUGGAGUCAGUUUGCCAUGGGUCCUUUCGCAGUCUCUAAAGUCAAUCAAUCAAUCAAUCAAUCAAUCAAUCAUUCGCUUAUUUAUUUAUUUUAUAAAAUAUUUCUAUACAGCUGUCUUAUAAAAAUAUAUCACUGUGGUUUAGAACAAUAUAAAAACAUACCUGUGUAAAAAAGAAUGUUAACCUGUGUAAAAAAGAAUAUUAUAUCAAACAGUAUAGUGAGAAGGAUGGGAAGGAUCAUGUCGAUGAAUACUUUUACUAUGUAAAUAACUUUGUCUUUUUUUAUUUCUUUGUUUCUUAUCUUUGUUACUUCUUUAUUUUUCUUUCUUUCUUUAUAAAUUUUGAAUUUUAUAUAAUUUCUACCUGUUAAGAGAUAGUACAUAAUGUCUGUAUAGACAUGCAUAUUUUUAAUCAAUAUUAACAAACAAAAAGAAUAUAAAAACAUAAAACCAAACAAUAACAGUAUAAAAAGUAAAAAAAAAAAAGAAGAAGUGAAAAAUGAAAAGAAAUUAAAAAACAAACAUCAACUCUUCAGGGUUGGUAAGUCCACAGGCUGCAAAAUCUUCAGAGAGAUGAUCCAUAAUAUCAAUUACCUAUAUUUGGAGGACUUAGAAUCAUAGAAUCUUAGACUUGGAAGGGACCACAAGGGUCAGUUAGUCCAACCCCUAGCAUUGCAGGAAUCUCGGCUAAAGCAUCCAUGACAGAUGGCCAUCCAACCUCAGCUUAAAAGCCCCUGAGGAAGGAGAGUCCACAAUCUCCCAAGGGAGACUGUUCCACUGUCGAACAGCUCUUACUAUCAGAAUGUUUUUCCAUCUCCUUUCCUGCAACUUGAAGCCAUUGGUUUGAGUCCUACCUCCCAGAGCAAGAGAAAACAAGCUUACUCCAUCCUUCAUGGGACAGCCCUUCCGAUAUUUGGUUCAAGUGGAAGAAGAAAGGGAAGGAAUCCACUAUCUCCAUUGACUGGGAUUCUUCUGGGCAGCCAAGUAUCUAGCUUCUUCUCAUUUUCAUAUUUGGCCAUCCAAACCCCAUGGUACAAAGUACUACAACUGAAUAUGUUUCAAGUACUAUAUGGUACUCCAGGCUGCGGAAAAAACAUGAGGGGCAGGUCUAUGGAUGUCGGCUGGUGUGCCCCAACAAAGCCCUGACAAUUUGUCACCAGCAGUAAUAGUUUUUCUCAGAUCAAAAUAUUGUCAGCUCCGAAAAAAGAAUAACCAAAGACGACAAAUUAUGGUACUCAGGUGUUCUUCUGUGUCUGCCACCUUUUGUUGUACACGGAGGUGGGAAGUUGUGUGUGAAAAAAGGUGGCGCAUAGCUUCCAGCCGUCUCCUUCUUGUGCUUACCUCUUCAUAACAGUGUGUCAAAUCGCUUGGUGCGAAAGGAGUCUUGUUAUACGAAUGGCUCAGGCACUUUCAGCUGAAUACCUGGUCACUGACAAGGGGGGAAAGGCAAGAAUUUCAUGGCCAUCAUAGAGCUAUGAAACCCCCGACAACUCACACAGUUUGUGUUAACAGCUUUUUGAUGGGUUCUCUGCUGAGCCUUGACAACUGGAUUCAGGUGUUGGUAACUUAACGUAUCAUCUAUUAUUGUUUAUUAAACAUCUUACAGCACAAGCCUAACCAUACCUACUUGGAAGCAAAUCCUAUUGAAUGCAGUGGGGCUUAUUCCUGAGUAAGGGGGUGGGGGUUUAGGAUUGCAGCCUCAGUCGCCUUUCUCAAAAAUGACACAAGGUAACUUACGGAAAUAUAAAAAUAUAUAGAAUGUACAAAGCAACAAAGCAACAGUGAAUGCCUAUAACAGUAGAAGAAUGCAAAAAUUAACAAAAAAAUAACAAGAUCAAGGUAGGCAAAAUAUACAGUUAACAAAUCGGGUCCUCCCUUAAAGAGGGGACGUAUUGCGGUGAGACCGGGAAACCGACACCCUAUGUUGUGGGUGGGUACGAUUGGUCAGCCACAACACCCGAUUGGAGGUCCCUCGAUGCUGGGUUCAAUCGGGCCAAUGGCGCAGAGUCCAAAGGGAUCGAGGAACCUUUUUAUACCCAUGCACGUGACCCAGAGCUUCCUUUUUCGACUCGUGCAUCGGAACAACCGCCCACCUCUCCCUAUUUUUAGGGCUUGUGCACUUGACCUUGCUAUGCCGUCGUGUGUCGUCUGUCAUUGGGACAGGGGCAUGACAGGAAUUUUCCCACUUGGUUGAUUGGCUGUUGCCAUUUGGGUUUCGCCUGCCGUGUAGCAAAUUGUCACAACUUGUAAGGUUACGGAUAGGCUCUGGUUCAGGUGAUAGGGAUGGGAGAACGCUCUUGCCACCUCUAUGUGAAGGGUAUUCCGUUAAAGGAAUCCAGGGACUCAAUGGUUUGGUCAACCCUUGUGAGGGGCUUGUGCCUGUACCGGAGUCCAGGGGGACAUUUGGGUGGCGGAGAUAGCCUGUUCCUGGCUUUCCGCUUAUCCGUGUGUUUACCCUUGGCUGACCUAUGCUGGAACCCUGGGUCAGUGCUACCUGCAUGACAGGGAGCUAGUCGAACCAGAGCCUAUGCAACAAUUCACUUUCUGUAAUCAAUAAAGUUGUGGCCUAAAAUCUGCCAAAAACUAAAACUAAAAUUUGAGUCAAGUGUGAAUUUAUUUAGGGGGGAGGUCUCUGGGUCUGAACACACAAAUGAAUAAAAACCAAUGAUCAGUAAAAGCAGCACAUUACAUAUCAUCAAAUGCCUGAGAGUAAAGUUUUAAGCUGGCAACAAAAGGAUACUAAUGUUGGAACCAGGUGAAUAGGCUAUCAUAUCCUAUAAUGUGUAAUAUACACAUUCCUCUGACAGUGCUCCCAACACAGGCCUGCAGCAGGGAUUCUCAUUCAUUGAGGGAAUAGAGAAAGGCAAUGGUUGGAGUCUUGGUUGUUUUUAGUAGUCAGUUAAAUUCGCUGUGCCUGAAUAUAAAAGAGCUGUGAUCAUCUUAGCUCAGUCGGUAGAGCAUGAGAGUCUUAACCUCCGAGUCAUGGGUUCGAGUUUCAUGUUGGGUGAAUGCUUCCUGCAUUGCAGGGGGUUGGACUAGAUGACCCUUGUGGUCCCUCCCAACUGUACAAUUAUACGAUUCUCUGUGUUUAGCCAUCAGUUGCAAUCAGUGGCAGCUGGUGCUCAUUCAGACUGGUAGGGUGGAGGGCCGAGAAGACAACAGUAAGUGGAGCAACAGACAAUGACCAGCAGAACCGUCUAAUUCUAGCUUUGUCCCAAUUCACCUCCUUGCUGAGGUCUGUAAGGGCAAAACUGAGGCGCGGGGGGAAGAAGCUGACACCAUCCCUUCCAAUAUUCCUCAGGUGAAAAUAGGGACAUUCUAUUCCACAUCAGUAUCUCUGCUUGAGCAUUCCUCCCGGAAAAGUACAAAAGUUGUAAGAGGAAACACACAAAACCGCAAUCUUUGCAUUGCAGUAGAGCUGAUUCUACCCCUGAUAUUGUGGAUGGACCUAGCCAUCACUUAUUGAGUAUCUUGUCCAGGGGUUUAAGCCUUGCUAUAUCCUGUGUAUAUUCCUGUACUCCCCUAGGAAUCUUUGUAUCCUUUCCACCACCACCCCUUUCCUGUUACAAUGAUGGGUAAUUUGUUGGUGUGAGACGGAUGAGAUAGGCCAGAAUAUUCUGGAGUCACUCUCUUUUUCUGACAAAUAAAUAAUGUUCCUGCUUUCUUACCUGGCUGAACCUAUUCCUGAGAAGCCCAAGGACAUCCCUGGAGUGCAGUGAGACAGACAAGCGAAGCCAGCUGCCAGGGGAGGGGGAAAAAGGCAGAGGAAGAUGUGUUUAUGGGAGGGGGAAAAAUGCAUGGCUCAGAAAACAGAGGCUUAAAAUGCAUGGGGAUACCUUUUUUAAAGAGCCUGGGGACCACAUAUACAUCUGAGUGACCUCCCAGGGGCCACAUGUCAACGGAGAGUGGGGCAAGAGUCAAAAAGUGGCUGUGACGAUGAAUGCAAACCACAUUGGUGAAGUAAGCACACACGAAAGGUUUCUCCCUUUCUCUUCAGGCAAGAAAGAGGCCCUGCCACAGUUCAAGAAGGCAUUCUAGCCUGGGGAAAUCACUUGAAGAUUGCAGAGCAGGGCCAUUUUGUAAUAACAGCAACAACAACAACAACAACAACAACAACAACAACAACAACAAUUUUAUACCCUGCUCUGUUGGGAAACUAUGUACGUGCAGCUACUCACACAGAGUCAAUUAAGGUUUGGCAGACAGCCAGAAGGCAAUCUGAAGGAGUAAGUCUGCCUGGUGAAAACAGAGACAUGGAGACUGCUCCCUGAUUGGUCAAGCUCUCUCAAGGGAGUGAUAAUUAAUGGCCUACUAACUGGAAUGUGUUAGUUCAGAGUUCGGGAGGUUUAGAGAUCUGUGUCAGUAUAGGAGUUGUGAGUCGUAUCAGAGAGAGCUAGCAUAAGAUCCUUGUUCUGUUCCUGUAAAUAGUCCAGUGUAUAUAAUAAACACCUAACUACAAGUUCCCGGUUCCUGCUUCAUCUAUCCUGUCUGCAGCCAAGUCGCCAAUUGCUUCCAUGGAUUCUGCAUUUACUCUGCUAGGUCUGGCUAAGGUCCUGCAACUAGUCAGAAAGUUGCAAAACACCAGUAGGUUUUGCCAACCUGGCCACUCUGGGCAGCUUCCAACAUAAAACAUCAGUCAUUAAAAACUUCCCUAAACAGGGCUGCCUUCAGAUGUCUUCUAAACGUCAGAUAGUUGUUUAUUUCUUUGACAUCUGAUGGAAGGGCAUUCCACAGGGCGGGUGCCACCACAGAGAAGGCCCUCUGCCUGGUUCCCUGUAACUUCGCUUCUCGCAGUGAGGGAACCAGCAGAAGGCCCUUGGCACUGGAUCUCAGUGUCUGGGUAGAAGAAUGGGGAUGGAGACGCUCCUUCAGGUAUACUGGGCUGAGGCUGCAUAUAGUCUGAGGAAAGUGUAUGUGGCCUGGGGGGUGUCACCAAAAGGAUAUGAUAGUUGGGAAAGGUUGGGAAGAGGACAGCCGAAAUGAUCAAGGAGUGGAGUGACUCCCCUAUAAAGAAAAGUUGCAGCGUUGGGGGCUUUUGAGUUUAGAGAAAGGGGCAUGCAAGAGGUGACAAGAUAGAGGUGUAUAAAACGAUGGAUGGCAUAGAGAAAGGGACUUCUCCCUCUUUCAAAACACUAGGAAUCAUGGACCUCUAUGAAUGUUGGGAGAUUCAAGGCCGAUAGAAGAAUGUACCACAUCAGCCGUGUGAGGUGCUUGCCUCACUCUGCCUAAUAGUAGGGCCAGCCCCAAGGACAGGACGGCAGAGAGAGGUGAGCAGGGUGCAAUGGGGGAGAUGGAGACAAUGAGAUCAUCUCGGUCUCACUUCACAGGAGCCUAAUCGCAUGGAGGAAGAGCGAGUUAGGACUAAUGUAAAGGCAACCUUGGUGACAGGUUUUGUUUUGUGGACCUAUAUGUGUUUGUUUUGGGGAGGUGACAGUCUCACUGAAUUUGUAACAUAUGGAUCAGGUCUGCAUAGGUUCUACACAUAGAAAGAUCUCUGUAUUUAUUCUGCAAGGUGAAAUAAAUCACACCUAAUUGAAAGAAGUGGCAUUGCCUUCUGUAUCCCCUGAUGUCUCUGAAGCUGCAGGUGAAAACAGAUUUUUUUGUUUAGUUUUAUUUUUUGCCCUUUCACCCAUGAUAUAUCUAAAAAGGUGAAAUAUUGUUGGCUGGUGUUACAGAGGCUUAGCACUUUUCUAGUUUGCAGCUGUUGCUUUUCAUCUUCUGGCUAGGGGGAUACCAAAAAUAAAUGCCAGUGACAUCUGUCGGCUGCUUCAUCUUCAUUCAAAACAAGUUUUCCAAAUACUUGCAUGGAGGCAAAAGCACAAGGGUCUGAAAAGCGUUUCCAGCUAGCUGUGGGGUCAGAACCAGCAAAUGGAAUCCUUGGGCAGCUGAUGGGACCCCACCACAAAUACCUAACCUGGACUUAUUGAGGGGGGCGGGGAACCAAAAUUAAAUGAAACAUCUGGCACAGCAUUUCAAACUCUGUCAAACCUGUGGAUCUAUCUGCCGUUUGAAUUACUCCAAAUGUCUCAGGGGCAUCAGUGCAACAGGGGCACUGAGAAAACUGAAACAGUAGGUUGGAUAGAAAGCUGUUUCAUAUGGACUGCACCAGCUGCCAAUUACUUUUUCUGGGCCCAAUUCAAAGUGCUGGUGUUGACUUAUAGAGCCUCACACAGCUCAGGACCUCAAUACCUUAAGGAUCGCCUCUCCCCAUAUAAACCAACCCAGACCCUGUGCUUGUCAUCUGAGGCCCUUCUCGAUGUGUCCUUCCCUCUCCAAGAUUCGGAGGGUGGCAACAUGAAAAGAGGCCUUUUCUGUGGUGGCUCCCCAGAGCAGCUCACAUGGUGCCAUCAUUACAUGUCUUUGUCAGGAGUUCAGCCUACACUCGAGUAGGACCCUGGCAGAGACACAUGCCCGACUGGCAUGUUCUGGACGGCUUACAACAAAGUUUAAAAAUACAUUAAAAUGUCACACAUUAACUACUUCCCUAAACAGUGCUGCCUUCAGAUGUCUUCUAAAUGUCAGGUAGUUGUUUAUCUCUUUGACAUCUGAAGGGAGGGCAUUCCACAGGGCGGGCGCCACUACCGAGAAGACCCUCUGCCUGGUUCCCUGUAACUUUGCUUCUCACAAUGAGGGAACCUCGGCGCUGGACCUCAGCAUCCAGGCAGAACGAUGGGGGCAGAGACGCUCCUUCAGGUAUACUGGCCCGAGGCCAUUUAGGGCUUUAAAGGUCAACACCAACACUUUGAAUUGUGCUCGGAAACGUACUGGGAGCCAAUGUAGGUCUUUCAUGAACAAGCCCAAUGGCCCAAUGGGCAGAAAUACCCCAGCAACCGAGGGACUAGCAAUUGGGUUGUUGUGGCUAUCCAAUCGCUCCCACCCACACAAGCAGUGAGGUCAGUCCUGAUGAUCUCACCACAACACGUGCUCUCUGGGAGGAGGACACAAUCUGCUAGCCAGUUUGAACACAACUGAGCUAGAUGAAUCAAUGGUCUACAUUGGUACAUGAGAAGGGCUGCAGCUCAGUGGAAAAUCAUCUGCUUUGCAUGCAGAAAGCCUUGGGUAACCAGAAAUCCUGGAGGUCCACUCCCAGUCAGUGGAUACAUUACUGAGUUUGAUGGGCCCAUGGUCUAUUGUCACUUCCUCUGUUUCUCGCUGGGAUGUUUUAUUCCAAAUGUCCAACAAAAGAGAGUAAAUGAUGUCUCUCUCCCAGACUUGUUGCAGCUGAAGCAAGAGGCCAACAGAAAAUCCAUCCCAUAAAUUAUUUCUGAUCAGUUAACAGGCUAGCUUGACCCAGAAUGUAUUGAUCCAUCCAGCCAUCCAUUCAGAAAGAUUGGAACCGCUUUGAUGCAAAUGCCAUAAAAAGACAUAUCUAGGGGUUUGUGGGUUUUCUAAAUGUCUUCCCACUCCUCCAAAAUGUAACAAAUUCCAAUUGCUUUUUUUUUAAAAAAAGGCAUAAACAAAAUGUUGCAUGCUUUGUAGUUUUAAAAAAACCCAAAAAACAUUUCCUAUUUGCAUGAUAUGCAUUAAGUGCCCAGUUCUCAGGAUUUAAUACAAGAUGUUUUGUGUUUGUGAAUCUAUUUACCGAGUUAGGUUAACCUCACAUCUUCUUUAUUGGUUUGUCUAUCUGUUUGUUUGGGAUAUUUAUGAGGAGCAAAACCUCACUAAAUUGUAAGGCAGUCUCCUCUCCCAGUAUAUCAUACCCAGAAAGCUUACAGUGAAAUUACCGGUGGCCAGUCAAACACAGUAAAUUAGGAAUUGCACAGUAAAUCAAAAAAGCAUCUUAUGCGGGAAGAGGGGAGUGAAAAAGGAACAAUUGAGUUAAGAUAAAUAGACUGAAGCAGCGUAGUUCAAAAGUGACAAAUAAGCCCUCUUUUUGAUCAGCACGGCCCCUUAAAUACACGGGUCAGCAAAACUGGAUUGAGUUACAGGUGUUGGUAGGCAGUAGAGGCAAAUGAGGGCGCAGAGAGGAGAUUCCACAGUAGCUCCAAAAGUAGGAGGGUGGGUAGAUCUGCCAGUUAAACAUUUACAGUAAGUUUGUGUGGCGUUGUGUGGGGUUAUCAAAUAGAUGGUAAAUCAUUAUCUACUCUGCACAAAUACACGCACACAUACACCCCCACCACCUGAAUUGCCAUCGUUGAGAAAGUUAUGUGCCCUUCCUGAAUUUGCUGGCAGCCAGUGGCGUAGCAUGGGUUGCCAGAGGCUGGGGCCACAUGAAGAAGGGUUGGGAGGGGGGAAAUGGAUGCAGUAUGCAUGUGCAUUCAACUGCCUAACGGGGUCUGUGUCACCCAGGAGGAAGGUAAGACAAGAAGUGUUGCUCCUUUGUCUGGACUGGAGAGGUCAUUUUCUGGUUCUCAUGGAGAAGCCAUCUUCAAUGGAGUUGCUAUGUACUGAUCUGAAUCCUAGAACAAUAGGAUCCAGAAUGCAGCAGUCUGAUUGGUCCGCAGGAGCCACCCAAUCCAGCGCCAGGUGGAAGUGAAUCAGCGACCUGAUUGGCCUGCAGGAGCAGCCAAUCAGGCUCCUGGAUGAAGUGAAUCAGCAACCUGAUUGGCCUGCAGGAGCAGCCAAUCAGGCUUCUGGAGGAGGUGAAUCUGCAACCUGAUUGGCCUACAGGAGCAGCCCGGAAUUAGCCAAUCACA
Podarcis lilfordi (Lilford's wall lizard) is the source of this 32989-nucleotide non-coding RNA. The record is from the annotation of a GenBank genome assembly. NCBI's taxonomy places the organism in Eukaryota, Metazoa, Chordata, Lepidosauria, Squamata, Lacertidae.